UGGUGUUCGCCAAUGUUGUGC
RNAcentral lists this non-coding RNA (21 nucleotides) under Arabidopsis thaliana (thale cress). The record is from RNAcentral. Lineage: Eukaryota; Viridiplantae; Streptophyta; Magnoliopsida; Brassicales; Brassicaceae.